RNAcentral lists this ribosomal RNA (497 nucleotides) under uncultured bacterium. RNAcentral's name for it is "partial 16S ribosomal RNA". It matches the Rfam family "Bacterial small subunit ribosomal RNA", at positions 28 to 507 of the family's 1533-position model. The record is from RNAcentral.
GAUGAACGCUGGCGGCGUGCCUAAUACAUGCAAGUCGAGCGAACAGACGAGGAGCUUGCUCCUCUGACGUUAGCGGCGGACGGGUGAGUAACACGUGGAUAACCUACCUAUAAGACUGGGAUAACUUCGGGAAACCGGAGCUAAUACCGGAUAAUAUAUUGAACCGCAUGGUUCAAUAGUGAAAGACGGUUUUGCUGUCACUUAUAGAUGGAUCCGCGCCGCAUUAGCUAGUUGGUAAGGUAACGGCUUACCAAGGCAACGAUGCGUAGCCGACCUGAGAGGGUGAUCGGCCACACUGGAACUGAGACACGGUCCAGACUCCUACGGGAGGCAGCAGUAGGGAAUCUUCCGCAAAGGGCGAAAGCUUGACGGAGCAACGCCGCGUGAGUGAUGAAGGUCUUCGGAUCGUAAAACUCUGUUAUUAGGGAAGAACAAAUGUGUAAGUAACUAUGCACGUCUUGACGGUAUCUAAUCAGAAAGCCACGGCUAACUACGUG